GUCGUAUUACGUGCUUUCCUGCUCGAGAACGCGCCAGGCGUCUGGCUGUAGAAGGUAGUAUGGAGAUUCACCGAUAGUCAAGCAGUCUAUCAGUUUUUGACUGCUGGAAUAUAAACGACUGCAACAAUGUACCGUAAAUCUAUACGGAUGUUCUUCGACUGCUUGUCGAAGUCUUUUUUUUUUUUUUUUUUUUUUUGCCCCAGCCGGUAGGUCUCUAGACAUUACAGAGAACCCCGAACAACCCAAACUGUUAAUCUUCAAUACCCUUUUGUACUUACGAUCUUGUAUCUACUGACUGUCCUAUUAGAUUAAUCCAAUAAAUUUCAUUCACUGUGCAUACUCAAUCCUAUAGACACCCUUUUAAUCCUUCAAUCGCAGACGUAACUCGAUUUUACAAAACAGUCAAGAGUAUUCAAACCCACUUCAUUUAAAAAUCCCAAUUCACCAUUACAACACUGACUUCAGCAGCGAUUGCCUCAGUCUUUUCAAAACUCUACGCAGAAGAAAAAUCCAAAUUCUAUGUCUUUCUUUCCCCGACCCGAAGCAUGAAGCUCCUCUCUCUAAUUCCCUUGAUCUUCAAAACCCUCCAAUAAAAACCGAACUGGUAACCUUGCAAAAGCUUGAAAACUAGCUCCCCCCCCCCCGAUUCCCCGAAAAAAGAAAAAAAACUCCCUCCCUAAAACUAUAUUCUCCCCUAACCUUAUCCUCUGAAUUUCUUCAAUCUUCUGUCUUAGAUCCGGAAUUGGCUCCCACCUCAAGCUUGGAUCCAAAAGUGGCUCUCGUCAUCAAGCUUGGAUCCAAAAUUGGCUCUCGCCGUCACAACUUUCUCCUCCGUUUUUACCUUUAAGAAAUCCAUUUACCGAAAACAACGUUCCCUGAAACGGCACAGAGAACAGGACAACCUGAAACAGAAUCGAACCCCCUAAUUGGGACCACAUUGAGUCGCCCGACAAAUUCAGGUCAUAUAUUGGGAAAGAUGCCCGUAGUAACCUAGAUGUUCCCGUAAUUGGGUCAAAUUGGUCCUCGCGUCAGAUUGGCUAAGACCUGUAGUAGGACCUAGAUUUUCCGUAAUUAGACUGCAUUGGGUUGAUCGACCAAUUCAGGUCUCAUAUUGGGUAAGAGGACCCGGAUUGGAUUAUCGAAAUUGGAUCCAAUUGGCUCCUCGAACCCGUCGUGUGAAUUGGUCCUUCUCUUCCUCCUGACUCCAGUUAUUGGAAUCGAAUGGAGCAUUUCAGUAUGCCCCGGCUGACUGUAACGGAGUGACUGAACCUGACCACUCAGUAUUUGUACUGGAGUUGGUCGAUGCUUCCAAUAUUCGAGGUAACUGAAUAUUAAUAAAAUUCUCCUUUCUUUUUAUUUUCACUGUAUAUUCGUGUUACAACACGACAUCUACCCCCUCUGAACCUGUGCAUCCUCCGGUAUGCACCAAUUUACCCAAUUGCGGUUUGAUUCAGAAUAUAUCUCCUACGUCUUUGUCCAGUUCAUCUUCGUCACCUUCAUUAUCCAAAUCACUUUCAUCUUCUUGCUGCGGAAUCUCUGUACCUUCAUUAAGGUCUUCCAUAUUCAUCUCUGCGUGUCUUCGUUUAAAUAUUUUUACUCGCUUCCUUGCAAUUGGUAUUUUCAAUUUUGUACCAUCUAACUCCCGUAAUGAGUAAGUCGCAUUAUCAUGAACAGUUGUUACCACAUAUGGUCCAAACCAACGUUUUGAAAAUUUCCGCAAAGUACUAUGUUGAUUAUCCAGACUAUUAUCAUAAACAAGUACCCAGUCACCUUCCUUGAUUGCUUUUGAUCUCAAUCGAUGUUGCUUAUCGAAUCGCGCCUUGUUUUGUAACCUUGCUGUUUUUAACCUUUCCAAUGCUAUCUGGACAUCUUCCGUUCUUUGCUCCAAUUGUCGAAUCCUAAUAGCCAGAAGUUCUUCUCUUGUCAAUCCAUCUUCCCAUGGUAGCAUACUCUUAGUAAGUACCUUUUCUUCAAUCGGCAUAAUUGGUUUUUGACCUAUCAUAAGUUCUACUGGCAUAUAUCCUGUCACCGAACUAUGUGUUGUUCGAUCAGCACAUAAUGCAAAUGACAAAAGCCGUGGCCACUCUUUAACCUUCCCAUUACAAGCUUUAACCAAUGCUUUCACAAUCGGCGGGUGACCGCGUUCGCUUUUCGCAUUCCCUUCCGGAUUAUAAGCAGUAGUCAGUGAUAGUUUAACUCUACAUUUUUCAAAGAACUUAUGAGCUUCUUGUGCAUUUAAUUCUCCAAGAUCUGCAGUGAUUUUUCCUACGCACCUGUAACGGCAAAUAACAUCUUCAAGCAAAAACCUACAAAUCCCCUCUGUAGAUUUUGUCCUCAAUGCUCUUCCUUCUACUUGAUUUGAUAAAUCUUCACGAGCUAAAACCAAAUAUCUCAUCUGCCAUAACCCAACCGGCAUAAUAACCAAAUCAACAACCCAUUUAAAAUGAAUAGCUAGAGGAUACGUAGGAUGAAGACCAUCUCGAUGUUGGAUAUUAGAAUACGAUUGACAGAUUUCACAUGACUCUACAAAUGAGAGCACAUCUCGAUACAUAUUUUUCCACCAAUAUCGUUCCUUGAGUUUAGCAAAAGUAGCCCAGAUUCCUCUAUGCCCUACCCAUAAACUAUCAUAAAACUCCUUUAAUAAUUUUAGUUUUUCUUCCCUUUUUCCUAUAACUCGCCGUGGCAUCCCAAUUCCUUUCUUCAGUCUCUUCCAUAAGAAUCCAUCUUGAAGUAAAAAUCCAUAUGCUUUUUUUCUUAUUUGUUUGAAUUUUUUUGUAGACCAAUUCCCCUGCUUAGUCAAGUUAUUCAAGUAAUGACUAAUAUCCAAUAAUUCUCCUUCAUAAGAUUCUUCAAGAAAUAACUUGUAUUCUCUUUUGAGAUUUGAUAUUGAAUAGAAUUUCAAUCCGACGUCAUCAAUGUCUUCAACCAUUUCGUCCUCCCUCUCGUAUCUUGCUCGAGAUAGCAUGUCUGCUACUAAAUUGUCCUUUCUAGUAAUAUGCUUAAAUUCUGGAUUUAGUGACUUAAUAUAAGCAAUCCAUCUCAACAUUGCAAUAUCUGGCGUUGAACAGUUAAUAAUCAUUCCAAGCAAUGGCAAGCAAUCUGUUUCAAUUACUACUACUGCCCCAAUCAAAUAGUCCUUUUCAGCUUUCAUAGCCGAAACGACUCCCCAAAGUUCUCUUUUGACUUGCAAAUAUGCACGCUGACAAAUACUUAAAACUUUAGCCCCAAAUCGAACUGCAAAUCUACUCCCAUUCGAAUCAUCUUGACCCACAGCCCAUCCAACGGCAAUUGGACUAGCGUCUACAGUAAGAAUCACUGGUCUAUUGCACUUAUAAUCAACCUUCUUCAAUAUUGGAGGUGACAUCAAUAAUUUCUUCAAUCUUUGCAUUGCCUGAAUAUGCCUUUCUUUCCAUUCAAAUCGGUAACCCUUGCGUAACAGUUCAUAUAAUGGAUCCGCUAUGUGAGCAAAAUGAGGGAUCCUUAUUCAUCCCAUUCAUCAUAUGCGCAACUGAGUUGGUCGCGCCUUGAGGAAGAGUGCACAUUCUAACCAAUCCAAGCGGUGUCCUCAUCGUUGUCAUAUCUCUACUUCCUUCGGCAAGUUGAAAUUGAUCAUAACCUGAAUACAAAUCACCCAUUGAAUAGAUCGCCCUUCCAGCAAACGCCUCAGCAAUUUCAUCCACAAUAGGUCCAAUUCCUGCAUUCCUGACAGUUACAGCAUUCACCGGCUGCAUAUCUUGAAUAAACCGUAGUGACCCAUUCUUCUUAGGUACCGUAAACCAUCGACUAGAAUACGGCGCAAAUGAAGGUUCUAAUAUUUUCAUCUUUAUCUUUUCUUUCAAUAGUUCCACCAAUUUAGGUAAAUGUGCCCUCGAUACUGGAAUCGGUCUUAGAUUCCAAGGUACAUGCGGUACAGUGAAGAUAACCAUAGGUGUUAUAAUAUUUGGAUCCACACACCCAAUUUCAUGAGAUUCGAAGGCAAACGAUCUACCUUGUUUAGCCAACAUCUUUUUGAAGCAAGUAAUUUCCUCCGGCAAUAAAGAACCAUCAGAACCAAUCUUCAAUUCUUCAAAAGUCUCUUCAGUAAACUGAUGUCCAAUACUCAUUGGAUCUCUUAAACUUGCUUCUUUUGAUGCUUCUCCCAUUUGUUCUUUAGAAUCCUCUGGUAAUGGUCCGGCAACAGGCUUUACCUUCUUAUCUGCCGUUUUAUAUCUCGUCUCUACUGUGACUUCUGGUGCUUGAAAAGAUUCAAGCAUGGUAUAAACCUCUUUCGAAUGAAUCUCAACAAUCUUAUCAUUAUCCCCUAACCCAAUAGUUGUAAUCAAUUCCAAUGAAUCUUCCAGUCCAUUUUCUUCAUAAACACCCAAAAUCCUCUCAUCAUCUUGUAAUGUACCUAUCUUGCGUAACUGUCCUUCAAUAUCAUAUAAUCUUUUUCUUUCUUUUCUUUUAAAAUCAUCAACUUUCUUAUACAUAAUAUUUCCAUUCUCUAAUAUACCAAUAAAACUCGCAUCAAAGGCACCUUCAUCUCGCGAGAGUACCUCCUCUUUUGUACCUCCAUAAUCUCGCUUUACAGUGGUACCUCCCCAAAAUCCUUAAAUCCUUCAACAAUCUUUGGCAAUGGUUUCUCCCUCAACCUAUCUCGAUUCCGUUCAUGGUUAGGAGGUACAGUUAGAAAUUGUACAACUUUCCUUCCAUCUUCGCUCCGUACCCUUGCAUAAGCAGAACCAUCGUCAAGUACCUUUGUUUCUAUCUGUGUUGCCGUGAUAUAAGGUUGUCCUAAAAUCAACGGAUAAGACGUUGUAUCUUCAACAAAGAAAUGUUGCUCCAUCGUAACAUCUCCAAUCCGAACUUUGACAUCUGGACAAGCUCCAUAUAAUUCGCCCCAUGUAUUAUUAGCUGCUCGAAUUGCCCAUCCAUAUUCCAUAUCAAUUGGCCAUUUUUGCUUCUUAUAAAGAUCUUUAGACAUGAGAUUUAUUUCAGAACCAUGGUCCACCAAAGCAACUAUUGGUUCUUCUAUAUCUCCUACCUUCACCAAUACCUCAAUAGUUGCCCUUGCCCAAUGCUUCCGAAUAUAAUGGCUCAAAGUUUCCAUUCCCUUGUCACUAGAAUCUUCGAAACAUACUCGCUGAUUAUACCCAUUUUUUUCAUUUGUUGGUUGCUUGUAACCAAUAUCAACCUCUUCUUCAUCUCUACAUAUUCUUGCAUCAAUAGCAUGACUCAUUCCAGUUUCGCUAAUUAAUUGCCUCUUUCGCUUAAUGCUGUCAAUGAUAACAUCAUGAAACUCUUUCUUUGCAAUUUCCAAGACUUCUUUCAAUGUGAAUUCCACCUUAGCGUUUAAUAUACGUUCUUCCAACACCCCUUUCAAAUUUGUUGCCGCUUCAAUGUCAGAAAGUAGCUUAUAAGCAAUUGAUUUGCCCUUAUCUUUUGUCUCCAUUGUUUUUUCUUCCAAUGAUGCUGAGGUAUCCUUUACAGGCAAUUCUUGUGAAGCUGCCUCCCGAGCCUUGUCUCGUCGAGUUUGCCUCUUAAAAGAAUUUCCUUCUCUAGUAUCAUCAAAAUUUCCUCGUCAUUUUUCUUCCAUCAAAGCUUCAUGUUGGUUCUUAGCAAUAUAUGCAUGAACUGAAAGAGACUCAACAGGAUCCUCCCAACCUGUUCUUCCUCGUAUUGUAGCUGCAGUUCUCAAUAACGCUUCUCGAGGUAAUUUCCUUUCUUGCAUUGUAGAAACGGCAGAAGCCCAAAACUCACUAGUUUCUGUACUUCCACCAAUUUCAUCAUCUAUUCUAGCACCAUAACUUGCACUUUCUCGUGUUGUUGUUUCAUGCUCUUUUAGGUAAUCUUGAACCAAUGCUCUCAUUCCUCCCUUGCCAAAAUUGGUUUGAAGAAGAUCCUCCCUAUCUUUCAAUGCUAUCUUCCCAUCUUUUCAGCAAAUAAUUCCGUGCCGUAUCAUAUUAUUAAAUUCAUUGCAAUCUUUUCUAGUGUGUGAAGCAUCAUCACACCAAAUGCAUCUUUGUACAUAUCCUUGUUUUGAAACAUUCUUCGAAUUGUUUGUAGAAGUAUUCUCUUCAAGUCUUGCCAAUUUGAUUUGAAGAUCUCGCAUUCCUCGUAUAAUUUCUUCCAUACCCAUAUCUGCUUUCUUUCACAAGGAUGUCAAAGGUUGAACUGUAGGCAUUGUCGGUGGUGUUGUACGUACUAGAGCUUUGGGUGCUUGUACUGUUUUUGGAAUAUUGCUCCUAUCCUUGCUCCUUUCUCUUUUUGUAAGAAACCUCACCGCAUCUUCAACGUUCUUCCACUUCGUUGUCAAUCCUUCAUCUUCUUCUUUGUCUUCAAGAAGGGAUUCUAAUUUCUCUUGCAAUUCUCCAUCAGCAACUUGAAGAAAUAGAUCAACUUUAUUCGGCUCCAAUGUCAAUUUUUCUACCUUCGAUAAUUGAGAGUACUGCCUCUCAAAUUCCCUUAGUAGCUCUGUUGCUUGUAAAUUCUUAUUGGGCCGUUCAAUCCAUCCCAGAAACAGCUUCUUAGUAACGUGAUCAACAUCUUCCAAGAAAUAUUCGUCUUUCAAUGUAUGUAAAAAAUCCUCCCAUGAAUUCCCACAACGAUCCGUUAUCGAUGUAAUGUGGUCCCUUAUCUCCGGUAUCGUGGCAAGUCCAAAUAGUGCAACCAUUUUCUUCUCUGAAACCCGAUUUAAUUCCAUUUCACGAACAUAACAUCUUAAAUACCUUGAAAUAUUCCUUCCAUCAAAUUGAUCAAUUUUAUUGACCACUGCUUGCAAUGCUUUGGUUGCCAAAGCUUUCUUUCGAUCAUUGCUUUGCUAUUGCUGCAUUGACAAUGAGAAGGCUUGAAACAAACUAGCAAUAGACGGAUCCAUGUGCAUACCUUGUCCUUUAGAAGACUCCCCACCAGAAACUUCUCCCAAAAAUCCUUCAAAAUUUUUAUUUUCGUUUUCCAUAAAAAUAAAGAUAAAAUCAACCGAAAUCCAAUACCUUCCACUUCAAGCUUUCACGUCGGGUUCACCACUUAUGUCGUAUUACGUGCUUUUCUGCUCGAGAACGCGCUGAGCGUCUGGCUGUAGAAGGUAGUAUGGAGAUUCGCCGAUAGUCAAGCAAUCUAUCAGUUUUUGACUACUAGAAUAUAAACGACUGCAACAAUGUACCGUAAAUCUAUACGGAUGCUCUUCGACUGCUUGUCGAAGUUUUUUUUUUGCCCCCGCUGGUAGGUCUCUAGACGUUACAGAGAACCCCGAACAACCCAAACUGUUAAUCUUCAAUACCCUUUUGUACUUACGAUCUUGUAUCUACUGACUGUCCUGUUAGAUGAACCCAAUAAAUUUCAUUCACUCUGCAUACUCAAUCCUAUAGACACCCUUUUAAUCCUUCAAUCACAGACGUAACUUGAUUUUACAAAACAGUCAAGAGUAUUCAAACCCACUUCAUUUAAAAAUCGCGAUUCACCAUUACAACACUGACUUCAGCAGCGAUUGCCUCAGUCUUCCCAAAACUCUACGAAGAAGAAAAAUCCAAAUUCUAUGUCUUUCCUACCCCAACCCGAAGCAUAAAGCUCCUCUCUCUAAUUCCCUUGAUCUUCAAAACCCUCCAAUGAAAACCGAACUGGUAACCUUGCAAAAGCUUGAAAACUAGCUCCUCCCCCGAUUCUCCCAAAAAAAAAAAACCUCCUCUUUCAAAACUAUAUCCCCCCUAACCUUAUCCUCUGAAUUUCUUCAAUCUUCCGUCUUAGAUCCGAAAUUGGCUCCCUCCUCAAGCUUGGAUCCGAAAUUGGCUCUCGCCGUCAAGCUUGGAUCCAAAAUUGGCUCUCGCCGUCACAGCUUUCUCCUCCGUUUUUACCUUGAAGACAUCCAUUUACCGAAAACAACGUUCCCAGAAACGGCACAGAGAACAGGACAGCCUGGAACAGAAUCGAACCCCGUAAUCGGAACCACAUUGAGUCGCCCGACCAAUUGAGGUCCUAUAUUGAGAAAGAUGCACGUAGUAAUCUGGAUGUUCCCGUAAUUGGGUCAAAUUGGUCCUCGCAUCAGAUUGGCUAAGACUUGUAGUAAGACCUGGAUUUCCCGUAAUUAGACUGCAUUCGGUUGACCGGCCAAUUCAGGUCUCAUAUUGGAUAAGAGGACCCGGAUUGGAUUAUCGAAAUUGGAUCCAAUUGGCUCCUCGAACCCAUCGUGUGAAUUGGUCCUUCUCAUCCUGCUAACUCCCGUUAUUGGAAUCGAAUGGAGCAUUUCAGUAUGCCCCGGCUGACUGUAACGGAGUGACUGAACCUGACCACUCAGUAUUUGUACUGGAGUUGGUCGAUGCUUCCAAUAUUCAAGGUAACUGAAUAUUAAUAAAAUUCUCCUUUCUUUUUAUUUUCACUGUAUACUCGUGUUACAACACGACAACGGUGACUAGGUUGAAAGUGCCUUCUAGAUAAUGAUGCUAUUCUUAAAAAAAAUCCACAAUUGUAAGAAGUUCUUUGUCAUGGAUCUCAUAAUUGAUUUUUGCUGUAGAGAAUUUUCUUGAAUGAAAUGCUACUGGAUGAAGUUUAUCAUCUUUUCCCAUUUGUGACAAAAUUACACUUAGAGCAAAGUCUCAUGCAUCUGUUCCCAUAAAGAACGCUUUGGAAAAAUCAACACGAUACAAGAUUGGUGCAAAAACAAAUGUUGUUUUCAAAGUUUCAAAAGCAUUUUCCGCUUCUUUAUUCCAGUGGAGUUUGUUCCUAGGAUUGCUCAAUUGACCUUCAAGAAGGAGCACAACCGUCGUUUGGACCAAUCUACAGUUUAUCACAAAAUGAGUUGACUGAACUCAAGGAGUAUAUUGAAGAAAAUCUAGCCAAGAAUUUCAUAGGCCAUCCUAAAUCUCCGGCAGGAGCUUUAAUUCUAUUUGUAAAGAAAAAAGAUGGAUCAUUGUAGAUGUGUGUUGAUUAUCGAGGACUCAACAAGAUUACCAUCAAGAACAGGUAUCCACUACCUUUAAUAUCUAGACUUCUUGAUCAAUUGAAUCAAGCUAAAAUCUAUACAAAAAUAGAUCUUCGAGGAGCAUACAAUCUAGUAUGCAUCAAAAAAGGAGAUGAAUGGAAGACUACGUUUCGAAGUAGGUAUGGAUAUUUUGAAUACAACGUCAUGCCCUCUGGACUUAAAAAUGCACCAGUAGCUUUUUAACAUCUAAUAAAUGAUGUUUUUUGAGAGUUUUUGGACGAUUUUGUGGUCUAUUAUCUAAACGACAUCUUGAUCUAUUUUAAGAAUCUAAAAGAACAUAAACUUCAUGUUCGUCAUGUGUUACAAAAAUUAAGAGAUGCGAGACUCUAUGCCAAGAUAGAAAAGUAUGUAUUUCACACUACUCAAGUUGAUUUCUUAGGUUACAUCAUUUCAAAUGAUGGACUUAUGAUGGAUCUUAAAAAAGUUCAAACUAUUAUAGAUUGGAAGAUUCCAAAAACGAUAAGAGAUGUCCAAUACUUUUUGGAAUUUGCUAAUUACUAUCAGAUCUUCAUCAAAGACUUCUUUCGAGUUGCAGCUCCACUUAUACGUUUGACUUGUAAAGAAAUUCUUCAUAUUGGCUUGGAAUGUCACGUGAAUUCUUUGCACCAUUAGAAACGGAUGUGGUAUAAAUAAUAUAUGGUGUUUCUUUCAUAGCAGCAUGCAAGAAAGCUUUUGCAUCUAUAAACACGGGUUUAAUUGAACUGGACUUAUGACUCUCUACUUGAUUAACUACACUAGUAGUUAUACUUUUAGAGAAAGUAAGAAUUUAGAAAAUCCAAUCUAUUUGAGGAUUUUAUUUUUCUAAUCAUGAUAAAUCUAAAAUGACUGGAUUAGAAGGAGAUCUAAUGAUAUUAAAUACUACAAGGCUAUUAUGACCAUUGAUUAUUACUUCAAUAGGAAGGAUUUUGUGAGUAAUAUCUCCAAAAGACAAUGAACGACCAUCUAUGACUUCUAUAUGAAUAGGUUUAGUUUUCUUUAUUAAAGAUAUGCUAUAUCUUUUAGUAAAUUCUUCAUCUAAGAAACAUGCUGAGGCUCCUAAAUCUAACAAGGCAGAGGCUCUGUAAUAUUUAGGUCCUAAAAUAACAUUUAAUGUAAAACAAGGAGAGGGUUCUUAGGAGAAGAUAGGAACUUUCCUAGAUGUUGUACAAGGUUCCAGCCGCACAGUCCCUAUUGUAGUUGGACAAACUCAUUUUCUGACAUAUUGUCUUCUUUGAUAGCCAUACUCUUCAUUUUGUGGUUGUAUCGUUUCUUUGGACAAUAUUGAGCAGUGUGUUUUGAUUCUCCAAAAUAUAAACAUAAUCCUUCUUGACAACAACGAAUCUUUUCUUGUUCAGUAAGAGGUUUGAAAUGUAUUGCAUUGAUUUACAUAUCUUUUACUUCUAAAGAUAUGUGUUGAGAAGACGUAGGUAUUGCCAUUGAAUUGUAAUAAUGUUGAGGCCUACUUAUGUGACUCUCAGAUUGAAAUUCAAAAAGUCAAUUAUCAUAUUUAAUAGCAAAAUCAAUUGCUUGACUCAAUGUUUAAGGAUCAGAUAAAUUGAGCAUCAAUUUUUUUACGUCAUAUUGUAGUCCAUAAAUGAAUUGGCUAAUGAGUGCAACAUCAUCCCACUUGAUAUCAAUCGUAAGUUAUUAAAAUUAUGAAGCAUAUAUUGUUACAGAUUAAUUUUCUUGUCGCAAGAAAUGAAUCUUAUUUGUUGCAACACGAACUGUAUCAUGUUCUCCAUACAUAGAUCAAAAUUCUACCAACAAAGCUUCUAAAUUAUCCAAUAUUGGAUCUUGACGUUCAAGAAAAGAUGAAAACUAUGAUAAUGCAGAACUGAAAAGUAGUGUUCUAAUAAACGUGACUUGUGAUCUUGGAAUUGCAUAGCUUUAGGGUUGAAGUUCGAUUAUCAAUUGUACUUGAUUGAUGAAUCCUCAAAAUUUUGAUCUUAUACCAUCAAAUUUCUUGGGUAAGGCAAUUUUUGGUUCUCUAGCAUUUGAAUGGUGUUCCACUAUGCAAGAAGGGGCAUGAUUCAAUGUAGAUAUUGAGGCAGCUCUGACCAUCUCUACAUCUCCACUUUUUGUUAUUCUUGUUCCUCUUUUUGUUGGUGAAUUAAGUUGAUGCAUCACAAGGAUUAAUUACCUCAAAUGUUCUUGUAUUUGUGUCAUUGCACUCUUCAAUUCAACAAGCUCUGCCAUAGUAACACCUAAAAAAAAAAAUCUAAUAUUGCUCAAGAAAAAUAAGAGAACGGACUUUAGAACAAAGAAAAUACUAAAAAUAAUAUUAAUUUAAAAGAGGGUAAUCCAAAACUCUUAAUACGCUUAUGUCUUAUAAAAAAAAAGAGAUAAUCAACUCUUAAUCAAGAAAAGACAAAGCUCUGAUAUUGUAAGUAUACUCUUGUCAAUCUGUCAAGGACAAGAACUCGAUGAAAAAGCAAUUCAGACAAGUGAGCCUUCACUCAAAGAAAGAUAAAAAAAUAUAAAUAAAUAAGUAUGUAUAUUGAAAGAGAAACUGAAAUGGCUAUUGCUAAAAGACAAGAAAAGUAGAGACCCUUGAAACUAAACUAGAAGUAAGAAAGAAAUUGACAAGAGUGAAGAAGGCUUCACUCUUGUCUCUAUAUAUACUAUCUAAGUAGGAGCUAUGUGGCGAUGUUCUAUAAGACCUCCAAUAUAUGUUGACUUUGUAGGACACAUGCCUUGACUUACAAGGCAAGUUUUUCUAUGUGUAGGCCACAUUGUUAGCUUGGUCUUCAAGCUAACAACAUAUGUGGCACAUGGCCAACUUGUUGACCACGUUUCUAAUCCAAAAAGUCAAUUAAAGACACCUAUAAAGUCAAAGCAACAUCUAUGAAGCUUCUAGAAAGCUUCCAUAUCAAAUACUAUAGAAUUAAUUUACUUUUAUCUACUUUUACUUACUUCUACCUACUUAUAUAUGUAAUUACUAGUAUACAUGAGUAUGUCUAUGACAUUUUGUUAAAGAUAUUAUUUAUUUAUUUAUUUAUUUAUUUAUAAUUUAAUUAAAAUAAAGUAUUUUUUUGAAAAUAUAUAUAUAUAUAUAUAUAUAUAUAUUCAUUUACAAAAUACAGAUUUGAAUCUAAAAUAUAUAUAAAUAUUGAUAUCUAUAUUUAUUUAUUUAACCACAAAGAGGAUUGAAUUUAAGUUUAAAAUUGAUCUAAAUUAAUAAUAAUUUUAAUAUUAAUAUAUUUUUAUGGAUGUUUAAUUAAUUUUCUAUAUGAUUUCUUAAAUUCAUAUAAAAAUAUUUUUUUAGAGAUGGAUUUAUAAAUGUUUUAGAAAAAUUAAGAUUUUUUUAAUUUAAGGAAAUUAUAUUCUUUAAAUAUUUUGGAUUCUAAGUCUAAAAACAUAUUUUGUUUUAUAAUAUAUUUAAUUAAAUAUUCCUUGUAAUAUUUUUAUAAUUAGAAAUAUAUUCAAAUUUUUAUAAAAUUUUGUUAAAUACAUAUUUUUAUAUAUUUUGAAACAAGAAUUUAAUACAUAUUUUUUAGAACAGUAAAUUAUAUUAACAAUAGCUAAAAACUAAGAAAUUAAUGUUAUUAAUAUAAAUUAUAAUAUAUAAAUCUGAUAUUAUAUUAAAAUUUUAAAUAAUAAAUAAUAUUAUCAAAUUCUAUAAUAGUAUCUUAAAGAUAAUCAUAAUGAAAAUUUAAUAAAAUUUAUCAAUAAAAAGAUCUUAUAAAAAUUUAAAAACCAAAAUAAUAUAAAAAAUAAAGUAGUGAACUAUUAAGAAAUUAACUUCUAUACAUCUUUCAUUGUAGUAAGUUAAUAUACUGAAAUACGAUAUUACAAUGCAAUUAAAAAUGACAAUUUAUUUUUAAUUCAAAUUUUUUAUGCUUCUAAUUUUUAUAAAACUUGAACUAUUUUUAUAUUAGUUGAAAUAUAUGAGUAGUGAAAUUUAACUUAAAAAUAUGUUUUGAUAUAAUAAUAUCAUUAUUUUAUUUUAUUUUAUUUCCAAAGUAAAGUUUUUAUCUCUUAUGCAAUGACCAUCAGCCUUUAUCUUGGUCUUUUAUAAUUAGAUCAAUUAGUAAUACAUGACCAGAUACUCUAAGGUUAAAAAUCCUAUCAAAUCUAUAACAACAAAGAUUUCAAUACAACAUAAGAUCAAGCAUAUUAAAACAAAACUAAGAGUAAUUAAACGUAAUAGAACAUGAAAGAUAUGAUUAAUUAGAAGAGAAUAGAAUCAAAUAGAACCAAAUAGAAUCAAAUAGGAUGGAACAAGAAAACCAAACUUUAUUGAAAGAAAGAGUUUGAAACCAUAAUUGACCAAAUGCCCCGAUUGGCCUCAGUCAAUUCUAUUUAUACUUUUUUUACAUAUCUUGGAACUUUUUAGAAUGUUCAUAGUAGUGGGCCCUAUCAAAAUAAUCACCCUUCUAAAAGAUUUUAGAGAUGGGCCUCAUCAUAUUAACUAUCCUAAGCCUUUCUAAAAGACUCUAUAGUAGAUCCCACAUGCACUACUAUCUUAAUCUCAAUUCUAGAAGCUUUCCAAAUUCAAUUCCAACUACAUAACUUUAUGAGUGAAUAAUACAACCAUCUUAUCCAUGCACUUUUUUAGCUAAUCGUCUUCUAUUAAUACAGAACGUCCUUGUUUUGCUUCCAAUGGUAUUUUCAAAUGGUUUCUUUAUAAUGAAUGAGAUUUUAUGCAGGUUCCUACAUUGCAUCGUGGAUGGAAUAAUCUUUCUAGAGAAUUUUGUAUUGAAAUUGUAGAUGUCCAUUACCACAAUAAAAGUAGCAAUGUUCUAAAAUACUAUCUGCUUCAUAUUCUUGUUAGUCAUUAAUUUCAAUUAAUGGUAGUAGUGGUAGUUGGUAUCAAUUUGAAAAGUACCAUGGUACAAUAUGAAACUCCUUGAGUUGCAAAACAUGGAAGAUUCAAUGGACCCAAAUAUAUGGUAGAAGCUUGAAGCCAUAUGUAAUAACAAAAAUUAUUAUAGAAACGUGAAAAGGUCCAAGCCAUCAAGGUACUAGCUUACGGACUUGGAUUGAUGUAAUAAAUAGAAGGUUGGCAUUAGAGAAUAAUAUCUAGUCAUCUUCUUGAAAGGUCUUAUGUUGUUGAUAAUUAUUAGCAUAUUGCUUCUAUCAAUUUUGAAUAGUAAAAAGAUAGUGUCAUGUUUUUUACAAGUCCAUUAGAAGUUGUUGUAUAAAUUCCUUUGUUAUUGAAUUUUUGGUGUCAAUAGGACAAUAGAGGAUUGUUGGCAUAAUCGGAUGUUGACUAAUAUUAAAGAAAAAUGGUGAAUAAUUGGUACUUACUUGAAUACUAUUAUUAUAGGUAAACUCUAAGAACAUCAAAUAUUUAUUGCAAUUGCUAUGAUAAACUAUCAUAAAUAUCCAUAGCAUAUUUUUUAAGGUUUGAUUUGCAUGCUUAUUUAUCCAUCUGUUUUAGGAUAGAAGGCUAUAGACAUAAUAAGUUGUAUAUCUAAUAGCUUAAAUAAGGCUUGUCAAAAACUCCCUAUGAAGCACAAAUCCUGAUCUGAAAUGAUGACAUAAGAUAAUUCAUGGUAAUAAAGAUAAAAUAAAAAAUAACUCAUACAAGUGCUAAGAUAUCAAUAUUAGAGUACACUACAACCAAGUAAAGUUACUUCAAGAGUCGAUCUACAAAGACAACAAUUGCAGUGUAAUUGUAAGAUAUUUAUAGAAAAUAUGUUAUGACAUCCAUAAUCACAUGCUCUCAACAUGCCAUAGGUAGUAGAAUUGGCUACAAUAGUAUAAAAGAUGCUGCAUUGUAUGCCUUUUUACAUUGGCAUGACUUCCAAGAAUAUACAAAAGCUUGAACAUCAUGAUCCAAACUUAUCCAAAAUUAUAUCCUUAAGAUCCAUUCGAGAGUCUUCUCUUGCCUUAAGUAUCCAAAUAUUAGAAUGUGAUGUCUCUCUUGAUGUAUGCACAUUUAAAAUAUAGCAUUUUUAGAUAUAUAAAUCUACUUCUUGAAAUAGAACAAGCCAUCAAUAAGACUAUAAUCUUGAUAUUAUAUAUUAUUCACCUUUAAUUGAUCGCUAAUUAUCUUAAAAUAAGCAUCUCAAAGUAAAAAUUCCUUCUAUUUUGCCUCUUUAGUUAGGUUUGAAAUGACACUACUAAUGAUAGAAAUUUUUGCCUUGUCUCUUAAUUCGACCCUCAACUUUGAUCUUUGUGAUAAGUUAUUUGGUAUGAUAUAUUGUCAUCCUUGCUAGUAUUCAAGCUGAAUGUCAAAAAGUUGUAACUAUUCUUCUCAACAAUGAUGUCGUGAUUUCAAAUUUUUUAGAUAUAAAUUGUAUAGUAAGGAUUGAUGGUUGAUCCAAACAAUCAUUAGUUUCUCCAAUAGAUAGUGUCGCCACACCUUUACAGCAUGUACAAUUGUUAAUUGUUCUUAAUUACAUAUAGAGUAAUUAUGCUCUGUCCUUUUAAACUUGUAUGAUUCAUAUGCCACAAAUUGAAGGCCCCUACCAAAGUCUUAUUGAGGGACCACUCUAAUAGUAAAGUCAUAAGUAUCAAUGUCAAGUCUAUAGGGAAGGUUGGAAUUAUAUGGUUGCAAUAUUGUAGCAGUAAUGAGUGUCUUCUUCAAUCUAACAAAUGCACUUUUCUACUCCACUUUCCAUUCAAAUGAGGCACUCUUCUCCAUAGGCUUCUUAAUGAGGCAGUAAUAUGUACAAAUUGCCAAAUAAAAUGGUAAUAAUAUCAUGCAAGGCCUAAGAAUGAUCAAACUUCAGAAGCAUCUUUGGAUGUUGGCCAAUUCUCUAUUACUUUUGCUCUAUCCUAUUCUAUGUGUAUACUUUUGGAGAGCACCAUAUACUCCAAAAAGGUGACUAAUUCUAUUUUAAGAGGGUACUUCAAUCAGAUGAUACACCAUUAGGUAAGUCGCUUGGAAAGAUAUCCCAAUAUUUACGUAUGAGUUGCUCUAUUCUUUCUCCUCUUUUGAUUGUCUUUCUUACCAUUGAAAUAAGAUUUGGAACCACCACAUAUACCAAUUAUUUAUACUAUAUUUGCUUCUUCAUUAAGGUCACUUCUAUGAGUAAGCUCUUAGCUACAAAUCAUUUUGAUAUCCUACUUGACACAAGGGCACAAAGAAUCACCAUGUAUCCUCUAUCUUUAAAAGAGAUUGUCUUUGUUAACUAAUUGACUUGUUUAUUCUCUAAGUCUAGCCAUAGCAUACCUAAGAUAAUAUUAUAUUUAAGCUUUGUAAUUCUAAAUUUCUUCCACAAGGCAUAGAUAUCACUUAGCUUUAGAUUUUUUUUUUUACUUAUCUCACUCGAUACGUUCUUUUAAUCAUCCAUUGGAUAUGUACUUCUUUCUUUAAUCAUCUUUAUUUUAAUCCUAAGUUAAUUAGCAAUUGCUGUUGAAAUAUAAUUUUUUGUAGAGCCACAAUCUACAAGCAUUCGACAUAGUUGUCUUUGAUAUUGACCCAUUAAAAUAUCAGCCAAUCCUUUUGAUAAUUGUCCAAGGCUAUGCCAUUUUUCUUUGAAAAACAACAACUAUUCCCAGUAUUGGCCUUUAGUACCUUUACUAGAGAGCCUUAUUUUCCUACUCCAUUCUUUUAUUAACUUAGUAGCCCUCGAGAAUGUGAAUCUGUCAUUAUUUGUUGUUACUUAAACUUUCACGUUGUAGACAAUCUUUGAUUUGAUGGUCUAGAUCUUGACAAUAAAAGUACAAUUCCUUUUAUACUAAUAAUUUUCAUCUUUGUAGUGUCAACGGUCCUUAUAGAGUAUUAAUCUCUAUUGACAUUGGUUUUUGUAUCCUAGUAUUGGCUAGAAGCAUAGGAUUCCAUACUAAAAGUCAUAUUCUACAAUUUUUGAUUCUAUGGCAUUAAUCCUCUCUACAAUCCUAAUUCCCUCCUCAAAUAUUUGUGGAUCCUUUAAUUUCAUUUUUUAAUGGAUUAAAAGUUUUAAUCCUUAUACGAACUAAUCCAUCAUCUUUGCCUUUGAAACGUUACAAAUUUAAAGACAUAGGAAUAUAAAUCAAGAGACAUAAUUUUGAUUUGACUUGAAUUGAGUAAGAUUAGUCAACUAAUUGCAUGCUAACUUCUUCACAUUAAUAGGUCGAAAUUGACUCCUAAGCUCGGUCUCAAAUUCCUCUUAGUCAUCAAAUCCGCCUUGAGCUUUAUAGCUUUGAGUUCAAUGUUGCUGCCAAAUGGCUACUGUACCUUUCAAAUAAUUAUAGGUAUAUAUAAUUCUUUUGCUCGUAUUUGAUCCAUAUAAUUGGAAGAACUACUGCAUGCUAAAGAGCCAUUGGCAUAUAUCUUCUUGCCUUAAGGUCUCUGAGUAUGUAUCAGACUUCUUCAAUUUCAGCCUAACAAAUAUCAAUUUUCUUAUCUUAAAAGCUUCUAUUUGCCCUUGUAGAAUAACUAUCUACUUAAGAAGUGAUAUAAUUAAGUCUUCAUGUAAGAUUGCUACAUCAUAUCUUCGAUGUUGUAAUUUCCUUACUAAACUUUGCUAUUAUAGUAUUUUCUUUCCUUUUAGCUGACUUCUUAAAGUAUUUUGUUGUAGCUCCAAAAUAGUAUCCGAUGUGAUUACAAGAAGUGACUUCCAACUAAAUGGUAGCUAUCAAUACACUACCAUAGAACAGACUAAUAUUUAUUUUAAUAUCAAUGAAACAAGACUUGAUACUCUAAGGUCUAAAUUCUACCAAAUCCAUAAAAACUAAGAUUUCAAUACAACGUAAGACAGAAUAUACUAGAACAAAAUUGAAAGUAAUUAAAUGAAAUAGAACAUAAAAGAUAAAAUUGAGUAGAAGAGAAUAAAAUCAAAUAGUUCCAAAUAGAACUAAAUAAAAUGGAAUAAAAAAAUCAAACUUAAAUAACAAAAAGAAUCUAAAGCCAUAUUUAAUAGAAUAUUCUAAAUAGCGUUAUUCAAUUCUAUUUAUACUUUUUUAAAAAUAUCUUAAAACUUUCUAAAAUAUCCCUAAUGGUGGAUCCCAUCAAAAUAACCAUCCUUUUAAAAGAUUUUAGAAAUGGAUUGUACUAUGAUAAUUGACACAAAUUUAGAAUACUGACUCGAAAUCUAAACAAGGAGCUCAAGAAGAAUCGACAAGAACUAGAUUAAUCAGAUGAAUACAAGAACAACACUAGAGAGGUGAGCUAGAGCUCCAAGAGGUGUGUUGUCGAGACUCAGGAUCCCUUCAAUCUCAACUCCUAUAUAUACUACAAGCUACGAAGCUUCUUAAGUAGCUUCCACAAGCUAGGAAGCAUCUCAAGCAGCUUCCACAAACUUAAAAAUUUCUCAAGUAGCUUCUACAAACUACAAAGCUUUUCUAGAACCUUCUAGAAUCUUCUACAACUUCCUAAUGUAUGUCUUGACAUCAUCCCUUCUUUUAGCUUCCAGGUCUCCGAGAAGCACUCCUAUUGCGAGUCAGUACUAAUGUAAGAAGUUAAAAAUUUGUUGUAUAGUAUCUGUAAUAUACUCCAAUUAUUGUUCGUGCGGCAAGUAGUUCAUUGGUCCUUGUAAUCAAUGAUAGUAUCCUACAACUUUGAUUUCUGACCAAGUAUAAACUUCCGUGUCUUCAUUGUGAAAAUGCCAUGCAAACACUCCUUUAGAAAGAUAAUCCUAGGUAGAUUCUACCUCAAAUACAAUCACUAGCGACCUGUUAUUAGGUAUCCUCUGUCAUCUUCAUAGUAGAAGCGAUUCUUCAUCUCGGAGUCAUCUUUGUGUAAUAUUUGGUUAAGAAGACAUGAUUAGUAUGGUAUUUAGCUCUUAGCUAUCCAUAUCAGACCGAAAAAAUAAGCACUAAAUAUGGAAGAAUGGGCUCAAGUUACAGAUUUAUAGUCUCUAACUAUGUCUUUUAAAGGUUCCUUCUCUCCCUUCUUUGUAAGGCCGAGGAUUAAGAGGCUUCAAAGAGAAGAAACUUCACUAAAAAACUUUCAUUGAAAGGGCUUAGAUUUUUGAGGAUAGCAAUGAUGAAACUCCUGUACCUUUUGCGACGCAUUGACAAGAUUUUUUGCUAGUUCCCAUGUGCGCUCAUUGAUAUCAUAUAUGCUUCAAUGCAUUAGGUACUCCAAUUUCUCCCACUUACGCCGCAAAUCUAGUACCUUUUCUACCUCGUAUUUCUCAUGGUUCUCAAUUUCAAUACUAUGUGGUGGACAUUGGACUCUUCCAAGAAAAGAUGAGUCUUGAUAAGGCUCCAACAAAGAAAUAUGAAAGACUAGGUGUACCUUCAUAGCAGUCGAUAAUCCCAGACGGUACGCCAGUGAAUUGAAUGGCUUCUAGAUGAUAAAUGGUUCCAAUCUCCGAUAGUUCAACUUAUCACAUGGCCCCUUGGUUUUGAUAUUCCAUCGAAGCAGCCAUAUUUUAUCUCCAAUUUUGAAAGUAAGUGCCUGAUUUUGAAAUUUAUCCGUGGAUGCCUUGUAAGCUUCUUGGGCAGUUUGCAAUUGCAACUUCAACGUAGUUUGAAGCUCUGAUAGUUGUUUCACAAAUCUUUCAAUUGUUAGAUUAUUAUUGGUUGAUGGACUCAACAAAUCAAGCUUUGGAUGAUACCCAUAGUUAGAAAAGAAUGGUGUUUUUUGAGUCGACGCAUGAAGGGUGUUGUUAUAUGCAAACUCGACUAACGAUAGAUAUGCAGUCUAAUCAUCUUGUUGAUAAUUGAUUCUGCAUCGUAAAUACUACUCCAAAGUUUGAUUCAUCUGUUCUGUUUGGCCAUCAAUUUGAGGAUGAAAAGCCAAAGAAAGCUUGAUAUCCACCAUCAAUAUCUCAAAGAGAGAUAUCCAAAACCUUGAUACGAAUUGGGUUCCUUGAUCUGACAUGAUAUUAUUUGGUAAACCAUGAUAUCAAUACACACUAUCAAGGAAGAGACUUGUUGUGUCUUUGCUUGAUGAUGUUUUCUUAUAAGAGACAAAGUGUGCCAUCUUUGUAAGUCGAUCUACUACGACAACUAUGCUGUCAAAUGAAUUCGAUGGUGAUAGGUCCGUACUGAAGUCUAUAGAAAUUGAAGACCAUGGCCGACGUGGAAUAGGCAAUCACUGCCGAAGAUCAUAAUGACGAUGCCAAGGGUUCUUGGAUCUUGAAUAAAUGUCACAAGAGAGGACAAAAUCCUUGACAUCCUUCCACAUUUGAGGCCACCAAAAAUCUCGAGAAAUAAGUUCCAAUGUCUUAUUGAAUCUAAAAUAUUUUGUAGCUGAAAAGUCAUAUCGAGAUUGGAAACUCGAAGUCAUGUUGGUCCCUUUGGAAUAUACAACCGCUCCUCAAAGUAUAAAAGAUCUCUUUCCACCUUGAACUUAUCAUUAUUGGCAUAUUCGAUGAUAUCUAGGGCUACGGAAUCUCCAAUAGUUACAGUACGUACCUGAUUGAGGAAGUAAGCAUCAAUUGGCACUAUAGCAGAGCAAAGCCUGAAUUGUUUCGACUUCAAUAAUAUUAUACACUAUUGAUCAAAUGCUGCUUCUCCAGCCUUUGGCGCUAAAUACGAUCUCCUUGAUAAUGCAUUGGAUAGUUCUUAUUGCUUCUCAUGUUGAUAAGUAAUAAUAAAGUCAAACCUGGAUAAUAAUAUAUUCCAUCAAGCUUGACAACGAUUCAGAACCCGAGCCGACAUGAAGUACUCAAAAUUCUUGUGAUCCGUAUAUAUGAUUAUGAAAUAUGCAGCUCCAUCAAGAAAGUGAUGCCACUCUUGGAAAGAAUCUACUAUCACAAGAAAUUCUUUAUCGUGGAUCUUAUAAUUGAUCUCAACAGCAAAAAACUUCUGAGAGUAGAACGCAAUCGGAUGAAGCUUCUCAUCUGCGCUUAUCUGUGAAAGUACAACUCCCAUAGCAAAAUCUAAAGCAUCGGUCUCCAAAUAGAAUGCCUUUGUAAAAUCCGAAUGUACUAAGAUUAGAGCAGUAAUAAAUGCCAUCUUAAGAUCUUGAAAUGAUUUUUUCACUAGAGGUCCCCAUUCGAGCUUGUCUUUAUAUGUCAACCGAGUGAACAAAACAACAACUUAAAAAUAAUUCUUGAUGAAGAUUCGAUAGAAGUUAGCAAAGCUAAGAAAGUAUUGUACAUUUCUAAUCGUCUUUGGAACUUCUCAUGAUACGAUUGCUUCUACCUUCUUAGGAUCCAUCUUCAAGCCUUUUGUAGUUGCAAUGAAUCCCAAAAAUUCCAUCUCAGUUUGGUGAAAUAAGGACUUUUCAAACUUGGCAUAAAGUCCUCGCUUGUAGAGUUUUUUAAGGACUAGGUAAAUGUAUUUUUCAUGCUCUUUUACAUUCUUGAAAAAUAUCAAAAUAUCAUCUAGGUAGAUGACAACAAAAUCAUCAAGGUGCUCCAAAAAGAUGUCAUUCAUCAUGUAUUGAAAGACCGUCGGAGCAUUGGUAAGACCAAAAGACAUGACAUUAUAUUCAAAAUGGCCAUACCUUGUAGGAAUAAUUGUCUUCUAUUUGUCUCCUUCCUUGAUUUGCACGAGGUUUUAAGCUCUCCUUAGAUCAAUCUUUGUAAAGUUCCUUGCACGCCCAAGUUGCUCUAGAAGACUUGAUAUCAAGGGUAAUGGACAACAAUUCUUCUUUGUCACCUUGUUGAGACGUCAAUAAUCCACGCAUAUCCGCAGCGAGCCAUCUUUCUUCUUCACAAAUAAGAUUGGUGAUCUAGUUAGCGACUUCAAAUGACAAAUGAAGUUCUUAUCUAGAUUCUCGUCAAUCUACUUUGACAACUCUGCUAACUCCGUCUACGACAAAUUAUAGAUUGGGCCAAAAGGUGGUUGUGCUCUUGCUUGCAAGUCUAUGGUACAAUCAUAUGGUUGAUGCUUCGAUAGCAUGUUGGCAUUUUUCUUUUGAAAUACGUCUUCAAAAUCCUUAUAUUGCUUUAGUAUAUUUAUUGUCAAAAUCUUCUCUCCGCUAGUUACAGUCACAUAAAUGACAAACUGUAUGCCUUCUUUGGAUGAUGUUACAAACGUUCUUGCUCCAAUAAAUAAGGAUUUUUUGAUUCGAAAUCUUCUAACAAGCUUAUUCUCGAAAUGUUCUAUAGGAACUGUCAUCAUUUCUAACCUCCAAUGUGUGGAUGGAUUACACAUUUCUAACCUCCAAUGUAUGGAUGGAUUACGUAUUUCUAACCAAGAAAGAUGAAGAAUAAUAGGAUUUGACAGGGUUCUAAUAAUAUUGAAAAUAAUAUAACUACUAUGGUCUUUAAACAUCACUUCUAUAGGUUCUGAUUCAUGGAUGACACUACCAGACAAUAAAGGUCGUCCAUCUAUUACUUCUACGUGAACAUGUUUAGAUUUUUGUACUAGAAGAAUCUCAUGAAGCUUAGCAAAUUCUUUGUCUAGAAAGCAAGCACAUGCUCCUGAAUCUAAUAACGCUAAGAUUUUUACUUUCUGAGGGCCAAAAGAUAGAAGAAUGGUAAAGCAAUGGACAGGCUGAGCGGAAAGAGAGGAACCUGAUUGUUGUUAUGGUAUUGAAUUUUCUAAUCGCUUAGUCCCUAUUAUGGCUGGACAUCUUUGUUUUCUUGAACAAAUGUGCCUUUGGUCUUGACAAUGCGUCGAUUUUACUUCUUAGGAUAGUUUCAGCUCUAUGGCCUUCUUCACCACAAUACAAGCAUAGUCUUUUCUCCAUACACCACUUUUUUUCUUCUAAAAUUAGAGAUUUUAUACGUACCAUGUCAAUUUGUAUAUCUUCCACCUCUGAAUAUGAAUUCAGGCUGCUUGCUAACAUAGUUGGAGCGUGGUGAGCUGUAUGUUGUCUUGAACGUUGGUCUUGACGAUGUUGAAACAGACAGUUAUUACACUUCACAACUUGGCUAAUGGCUUUGUUGAGUGUUUGAGGAUUAGAAAGAGAUAAUAACAAAUCUUUCAUGUCGUCCUUCAAGCCCUAAUAAAAUUGAAUCAUCAAUGCUUCCUCAUCCCAAUUGAUAUCACAUGCUAAUUGUCUGAAAUUUGAUGCGUAAGUUGAUGCGGAGCAUGCCCCUUGUCGUAGCGAUUGGAACUUUAUUGUAGUCUAUUGCACCUUCUCAUGUUUGCCAAAUGCUUCUGCAAACGCCUCCAAAAAAGUUUCAAAUUUGUUCAAAAUUGACGAUCUUAUCUCAAACAAAGGAGCAAACUAUGAUAGAGUUUGCCUCGUGAGCAAAGUUCCAACCAAUCCAACACGUUUUCAUAUUGUGGUUUGGCUACUAUAUGAAAAUAAUAUAAUUAUGUACUUAAUAUAUAAUUUAUUAAGUAACAUGGUGACAGCCAUAUUAGUAGAUUUUAGUUGGUUGUACAAUAUAAUUUGAUUAUUACCUUGAGAAGAGGUUGUUUAAAAAGUUUACUAUAGAAUUUGUAUAAUUUUAAUUUCCUUUUGAUAGUAGAUUUUAAGAUUGGUUUAAUUCAUAUUAACUUCUAAAUAUUUAGAAUCACCUUUGUUAGACAUUGGUGACUUUUGAAAACUUCUUUUGAUUCUUUUAUUUGGUAUUUAGAGCAUAAAUUAUAUAAAUCUUAUAAGAAAAAGGAUUGAAGAAGGAUUUUGGUAGCAAAGGGAGUAAUUAGGGCACCAAUAUAGAUGAAUGGAGAUGUAUAAUGAAAAUCUCCAUUCCUAUUGGUCAAAAAAUAUGACCAAUGGGCUUUGAAGAGGCUGCCCGAGGCCAUAUUAGGAAUUAGGGUUAAUUUCUCGAGGACAUUCAGAUUUUGAAGGCUAGGAUCAAAAGGUUUAGGUUUUUGGCUAUGGUUUUGGUGCAAGUUUAGCAUCAUUUGGGGUUUUUAUGAAGAAGUUAUAGAUGCUCAAAGUUAAGGUGUUAGUUUUGGACCUACUAUCACUCUUUUGGGCAUAACAUACGAGUAUGGAUCGCAAUUGUGGAUAAAUUCUACCUAUUCUAUAAAUUUGAGACAAACUGAAUGGUUAGAUCAAUAGUUAUGAUUUUCUAAAGUUUGGGGUAAGAAAACCCUUCGCAGAAAAAAUAUGUUUUGAAGGGAUUUUAUUUUAUUUGGAGUUUUAUAAAAAAUAAAGGAGUUUUGGAAGCUAAGACAAGAAUCAUAUAAAGGUUUAAGCUACACUCUCUAUAGCUAGAUACCCCGUGUAUUUCCAGAUAGCAAAUCAUGUCAUACGACAACGUGACUCUUCCAUCGGAUAGCGUUCGGGCUAUAUAGCUAUUAUCAAUCUAAUUUGAUUGAUAAAACCUUAAAACUUGGAAUGCUGUCGUGUUGUAACAUGAGUAUACCGUGAAAAUAUAAAAAAAAUGGGACUUUUAUUAAUGUUCAGUUACCUCGAAUAUUGGGAGCAACGACCAACUCCAGUGCAAAUACUGAGUGGCCAGGUUCAGUCACCCCGUUACAAUCAGCCGGGGUAUACUGAAAUGCUCCAUUCGAUUCCAAUAAUGGGAGUCAGCAGGAAGAAAAAGGACCAAUUCACACGACGGGUGAGCCUGGUUCGAAGAGCCAAUUGGAUCCAAUUUCAAGAAUCCAAUCCGAGUCCUCUUACCCAAUAUGAGACCUGAAUUGGCCAGGCAACCCAAUGCAGUUUAAUUAAGGAAAAAUCCAGGUCUUACUACGGGCCUCAGCCAAUCUGACACGAACGACCAAUUUGAUCCAAUUACGGGGACAUCCGGGUCUUACUACUAGACUCUUAGCCAAUAUGAGACCUGAAUUGGUCGGACGACUCAAUGUGGUCCCGAUUACGAGGUUUCGAUUUUGUUUCAGGUGGUCCUCUUCUCUGUGCCGUUUCAGGAAACGUUGUUUUCGAUAAAAGGAUCUCUUAAAGGUAAAAACGGGGGAGAAGCUCUGACAGCGAGAGCUAAUUUUGGAUCCUAAGCUUAGAAUUCCACGAAUUCUGGAUUCAAGACGGAAGAUUGAAGAAAUUCAGAGGAUAAGGUUAGGGGAGAGAAUAUAAGUAUGGAGAGUUUUUGAAGAUAAGGGGGAGAGCUAGCUUCAUGCUUCAGGCGGGAAAAAAAGAUAGAGAAUUGGGUUUUUUUUUCUUCAUAGGAUUUAGGGAAGACUAAAGCAAUCGUUGCUGAAGUCACUGUUGUAAUGGUGAAUCGAGAUUUUUAAUGAAGUGGGUUUGAUUACUCUUGAUUAUUUUGUGAAAUCGAGUUACGUCUGUGAUUGAAGAAUUAAAAGGGUGUCUAUAGGAUUGAGUAUGCGGAGUGAAUGAAAUUUAUUGGGUUAAUCUAACAAGACAGUCAGUGGAUACAAGAUCGUAAGUACAAAGCGGUAUCGAAGAUUAACAGUUUGGGUUGUUCGGGGUUCUCUGUAACGUCUAGAGACCUACCGACUGGGACAAAAAGGACUUUGACGAGCAGUCGAAGGGCAUCCGUAUAGAUUUACGGUGUAUUCUUGCAGUUGUUUAUAUUCCAACAGUAAAAAACUGAUAGACUACUUGACUAUCCACGAAUCUCCAUAUUACCUUCUACAGCCAAACGCUCGGCGCGUUCUCGAGCAGGAAAGCAUGUAAUACGACAAAAGUGGUGAACCCGACGUGAAAGCUUGAGGUGGAAGGUAUUGGAUUUUGAUUGAUUUUAUCUUUAUUUUAUGGAAAACGAAAAUAAAAAUUUUGAAGGAUUUUUGAGAGGAGUUUCUGGUAGAGGUUCUUCUAAAGGACAAGGUAUGCACAUGGAUUCGUCUAUUGCUAGUAUGUUUCAAGCCAUCUCAUUAUCAAUGUAGCAACAGCAAAGCAAUGAUUGAAAGGAAGCUUUGGCAACCAAAGCAUUGCAAGCAGUGGUCAAUAAAAUUGAUCAAUUUGAUGGAAGGAAUAUUUCAAGGUAUUUAAGAUGUUAUGUUCGUGAAAUGGAAUUAAAUCGGGUUUCAGAGAAGAAAAUGGUUGCACUAUUUGGACUUGCCACGAUACCGGAGAUAAGAGACUACAUUACACCGAUUACGGAUCAUUAUGGGAAUUCAUGGGAGGUUUUUUUGCAUGCAUUGAAAGACGAAUAUUUCUUGAAAGAUGCUGAUCGCGUUACUAAGAAGCUGUUUCCGGAAUGGAUUGAACGGCCCAAUAAGAAUUUGCAAGCAACAGAGCUACUAAGGAAAUUUGAGAGGCAGUACUCUCAAUUGUCGAAGGUAGAAAAAUUGACAUUGGAGCCGAACAAAGUUGAUCUAUUUCUUCAAGCUGCUCAUGGAGAAUUGCAAGGGAAAUUAGAACUUCUUCUUGAAGACAAAGAAGAAGAUGAAGGAUUGACAACGAAGUGGAAGAACGUUGAAGAUGCGGUGAGGUUUCUUACAAAAAGAGAAAGGAGCAAGGAUAGGAGCAAUAUUCAGAAAACAGUACAAGCACCCAAAGCUCCAGUACGUACAACACCACCAACAAUGCCUACAGUUCAACCUUCGACAUCCUUAUCAAAGAAAGCAGAUAUGGGGAUGGAAGAAAUUAUACGAGGAAUGCGAGAUCUUCAAAUCAAAUUGGCAAGACUUGAAGAGAAUACUUCUACAAACAAUUCGAAGAAUGUUUCAAAACAAGGAUAUGUACAAAGAUGCAUUUGGUGUGAUGAUGCUUCACACACUAGAAAAGAUUGCAAUGAAUUUAAUAAUAUGAUACGGCACGGAAUUAUUUGCUGAAAAGAUGGGAAGAUAGCAUUGAAAGAUAGGGAGGAUCUUCUUCAAACCAAUUUUGGCAAGGGAGGAAUGAGAGCAUUGGUUCAAGAUUACCUAAAAGAGCAUGAAACAACAACACGAGAAAGUGCAAGUUAUGGUGCUAGAAUAGAUGAUGAAAUUGGUGGAAGUACAGAAACUAGUGAGUUUUGGGCUUCUGCCAUUUCUACAAUGCAAGAAGGGAAAUUACCUCGAGAAGCGUUAUUGAGAACUGCAGCUACAAUACGAGGUAGAACAGGUUGAGAGGAUCUUGUUGAGUCUCUUUCAGUGCAUGCAUAUAUUGCUAAAAGCCAACAUGAAGCUUUGAUGGAAGAAAAGAGACGAGAAAAUUUUGAUGAUACUAGAGAAGGAAAUUCUUUUAAGAGGCAAACUCGAGGAGACAAGGCUCGGGAGGCAGCUUCAGAAGAAUUGCCUGUAAAGGAUACCUCAGCAUCAUUGGGAGAAAAAACAAAGGAGACAAAAGAUAAGGGCAAAUCAAUUGCUUAUAAGCUACUUUCAGACAUUGAAGCGGCAACAAAUUUGAAAGGGGUGUUGGAAGAACGUAUAUUAAAUGCUAAGGUGGAAUUCACAUUGAAAGAAGUCUUGAAAAUUGUAAAGAAGGAGUUUCAUGAUGUUAUCAUUGACAGCAUUAAGCGAAAGAGGCAAUUAAUGGGCGAAACUGGAAUGAGUCAUGUUAUUGAUACAAGAAUAUAUAGAGAUGAAGAAGAGGUUUAUAUUGGUUACAAGCAACUGUAAAAUAAGAAGUUAUUUGCUGAAUUGUAGAUUCUUAGUUUAUAGUGUAAACAUAGAUAAAUGACUGUUGAAAAGGUAGUUCAGUAGGUAAAAUGGAUGAAUAGUUAGGAAAAGCAGUUUUCAUUAGAGAUGUAGCAGUUGGUAUCUCGUGGUAGCAUAAGGAGGAUGGAAGAGAGGAAGUAGGGGCCAGACUGUGAUAGUGUGAGCCGGGGUAAGCUUGGUGCUACCUCUUUUCUUUUGUUUGUUAUUUUCUUUGAAUAAGAAGAUUAAGAGUUUCUGAAUAUUAUGAAAGUGAAUUAUGGAAUGGAAGUAUGAUUGUUAUUAAAUGAGAAGAAGAAAGAUUGAAUGCUGAAAUCUGAUUGUAGUUCAGCAGAGAGAAUGAGUCUGUGUUUGUGUGAAACACUGUAAUGUGAAGGCAGUUAAUGGUGAAGAACUCCAGAGUUUGGAUUAUAGUAUGAUUAUGUCCUGUCAUUUAGGAUAGUGCGGGAUUACUUGUUGUUGUUAUCAGUGAUGGUGGAGUAUUAUUAGGAAGUGGAAAGCAUUGUAGUAUUUCCUGGGUGUUUUAAGUUGUACGGAAUACAGUUAAUUGUGUGACCCUAAUGUGUAAGCUCAUGCGGUAUUCUUUCCUUGUGUUCGAAUCCCCCUAUACAGGUUUAGUCUCAUUAGAUUAGUUAGAGUAAGUAAAAUGAUAAUCACAUUUUGGCGCCGCUGCCGGGGAAAUUGAUAAUAGCAUGGAAUAUUAGGUAUUAAUUGCCGGUUGAAGUAGAUGGAAAAUAGGUAGCAGUUGCAGAAGAAUAUAAUGAAAGUGUAUAGUUAUUAAGAAUGAGAACUUAACAGUAAAGAAAAUACGGUAGUCAAGAGAAAGAAUAGAGAGAUCGCAAGCAAGAAAUUUUUUGCAAAACGAGCAACAAAGAAAGUUAAAAAAGAAUCAUAGAUAAAGCUGGAUUAAGCCAUGGUUGCAUGCCUAUUGUCAUAUUGGAGCAUACUCAGAAGUUAAUCGAUAUCUAAUAUUUCAGAAGUAUAUACCGUUAGAGAAAUUGCCAAGAGCACUUGCGGAAAAUUUGGUCAAUAGGCUAGGGUUUCUUCUGAGACCAUUAACUGAGAGUGGGGGAAUCACAGAAGAGUUGGGUACUCCAUUGGGUACGUUUCCAAUAGAGGAAACUGCCGAUUCCGUCAAAACUGGUUCCAUAGAGUCGCAUAAAUUAUUGGUCAAUAAGGGCCAAUUCAGUGUGUUUCAAAAUCCGUCAUUCUCACCUUCUAUUCAACCAAUAAACUUGUUCAAGGAUAAUAAUAGCAAAUUGAGUAGGGUGGAAAGUUCAGAAAAUAUAUUUGGGAGGGACGCAGACUAUAUUAACAAACGAUUAAGUAUCACAUUGUCAAAUUCAAUGACGACGGGAGGUCCAACGGUUCCUAUAGCAGUACAAAUGGGUACUGUGAGUGAUCGCACAACUAGCGUGGCUCCAUUACCUACCUUUAGGGGCUUUCCGGGUGCGGAUCCAGAUCAACAUUUGUCGCAAUUUUUGAUAACAUGUGUCGUCAAUAAUGGGAGAACCGAGGAUAUUUGGUUACGAUGGUUGCCAGCAACCUUAAAGGAUACGGCAUUUGAAUGGUAUAACCGUCAAAUAGUUGGUCAAUUUUCGAACUAGGAAGCAUUGAAGAAUGCAUUUUUGACCCAUUUUUGACCCGUUUUCGACCAAUUGGUUUUGAAGAUUGUCUUCGAGGAAGGUUAAUGAACAGCAAAAUGAUCCUAGAAGAGGUGGUAGAAUCGUACUAUGGCCGAGUGGCUGAUAUACUUAGUAAGUGGCAGAACCACCAAAUGCCGGAGGCAUUUAUAUUAUCUAUAUUAAUAAAUGGUUUGCACCCACCAGAGCUAAAAAUGUUUGUCAAAGAAACUCAACCAGUUAUGGUAUCUGCAUCCCUUGAUAGAGCCAAGGUUUGGGAGGAAUGCCAUUAUGAUCAGUUUUUAAUUGUGAGUGCCACGAUGAUACCAGUUCAAAGCAAUUAUCAAUAUCCGACUUUGAACGGAGCAGUGGGUAGUUAUCCACAGAUGAUCGAAACAGUGGCCCAUUCAAGUGCCAAUACUCAAGGGCCAGUUAAUGUUACCCCAUUGCAAGCUUUACCACUGCAAGUCACAACAGCGUAUGCUCCAUAUUUUCCAUAUCAAACACAAGACUCAACUUUGGCAAAAAAACAAAUAAUACCAGCUUCAAAAGAUUCCAAUGAAGCCUUGUUAUUGAACUUGACGAAGAAAAUGGAGGAAAUGGCCGUUAAUAUGGCCAAAGAUAAAGAGAAGAGGCAAAAGCCAACCAAUACUAGGACCAAUGUAUGGUGCAGUAAUUGUUAGGGCCACGGUCAUUUGGUAACGGAAUGCCCGUCACCUUCACAAGUGUUGGAUAAAUGUACAUUUUGUGGAGGCAAGCACUUAACCGCUAAUUGUUGGAAUUUGCAAAGACAACAACAAUUCAGUAAUCCGACCAUGAUUCCACCAACUCCAUGGGAUGUCAAUCAAGUUCAAACAGGAAAUACGAUUGGAUGGCAUGGAAAUCAAUCUAAUCGACAAAAUUGAGCAGUCAAUCAUUUUCAGAAUUCCACUUAUAAUCAAGAGUUUGUAUCAAAUCCUCAGAACUAUGGUAAGGAACAGCAUGGAUAUCAGCCAUAUGCUCCAUCGAUGCUAUUGAACUAAGUACAACCGGGACAACCAGGAUCGUUUUUUCAACCUACAUGGAACAAACCUAAUAGGUAUAUACUGGUGGAGACACCCAAUAUGCCUGAUGGAGGUGCAAAAAGGCCAUUGCGUUGUUUCCGUUGUAGACAGAUUGGUCAUUAUGCCAAUGAAUGUCCCAAUCCAAGAGCCAGUGACGAUUAUGCGCCAGUUUGUGGGAAUUGCAAGCAGUCAGGGCAUACGUAUCAGCAAUGUAAUGCUCCAUUCAAUUUCAAUAAUCGCGAUCAGCAGAUCCAGAGUCCAGAAAAAAUGGAGGGAAUAAAUCGAGGUCCUCAAGACUCUCCAGUAAAUUGGGUGGAAUGUGUCCUUACCGUUUUUACUAGGAGUCAACAAAAAGAGAAAGGCCCAAUUAAACAUUUGGAAGAUCCUAAAGCGAAGGGCCAAUCACACUCAAUUAUGGAUCCAUCCCAUUCAGGUCCUGACACUGGAAAAGUCUUGAGCCCUGAUUUGGUUGCGAAGCCCAAUGAGGUCCCAAUUACGGAGUUUUCAGUUUCGUCUCGAAUCGGUCAGUUCCCACAGCAGUUCUAGGAAGCAUCAUACCCGUUGAAAGAUUCCCUUGAGAAAGGUAGUCCCAAGGAAGCUCAAGUUGCUGUUCCAAUUCCAAGGCCAGGGCAGCAGAAUAAUUUACCUCACGGAGUUAAACUCAAACCCAUGAAACGGAAGAGGGCAUUGAGAAUUACCCUAAAUAUGGAACCCUACGAUAUUUUAAAGGAUUUGGACGCUAUUCGGCCUUCAAUUUCUAUGAAGCAACUUCUAGCAGUUGCACCAAAGUGUCAUUCCACCUUGAAUUCAUUCCUAACAAGACAUCUGCAUCGUAAUAUGGAAGUUUGUGAAGUUAGUUUGAACCCUGAUCCAGGUGCACCAACCAUUGAUGUUUCGAUUGAUGGUGUUCUGAUCUCUGGCGUCUAGGUAGAUGGAGGUUCUAGCGUCAAUUUAAUGAACGCAGAUACAAUGGAUGCUUUAGAUCUCGAACAAUUAGUCCCCACGACAUUGGUAUUACGGAUGGCAGAUUAUAGCCAAGUUAAGCCAAUGGGUAUUUUACGGAGUGUUCAAACUAUAAUUGCAGGUAUUGCAUAUGAAAUUGACUACAUUGUCUUUCGCUUACAACGUUCGACUUUAUCGUACCCUAUUUUAUUGGGACGACCUUGGCUGUAUCAAGCAAAGGCCAAGAACGAUUGGGGUCAGGGUACUUUGACAAUUGGUAAGGGCGUAGAUAAAAUGGUGUUACAAAUGUACCCAGUACGCUAUCACGGGGAGUCUCAGUUGCCAGCAUCUGAAUUGACGUCGGACGAAGAGCUUAGCUCCGAGGAUGACACAGAAGUAUCGAGUACGGAGGCCAAUGUGGAGGCAGCACUACACCCUGGAGUGGUGUACCAAUGUGGAGGUUCGGGGGAGUACUUGAUAUACCCGAAGGAUUCGGAAAACUCUGCUUAUGUUAAUAUUGACUAGAAACCUCCGCACGAUGUGCACCAUGUUAGUGCCCUCGAGACGAAAUUCGUUACUUUGCAUAUUUUGAACAUACCGAGUAAUUUUAAAUCACUGCGGGAAUUGAAACAGAGUAUUGUUGCUGAACCUGUAUGUGAAACUAUUAACUUAGCAACCACGGCCGAACCUCGGCUAAUUCAGGUCUACGAAGGUAUUAAGGAACAAGAGUUGACAUAUUGGACAGAGUUUUUCUUACAUCAUAAAUCCGCUUUUGCUUGGACUUAUGAUGAUCUACAAGGUAUCCCCGCUGAUGUCUGUGAACAUCGUAUCAUAUUGGAAGAAAAUGCUAAAUCGGUAUGCCAGAGGCAACAUCGCCUUAAUCCUAAAUAUUCCCUUAUGGUGAAGGAAGAAUUGGACAAGCUUCUUGCGGUGGGUUUCAUUUACCCAGUACCGAAUAGUGAGUGGGUUUCUCCAAUUGUGAUGGUGCCAAAAAAGAACGAAAAAAUCUAAAUUUGUCAAGAUUUUCGGAAACUUAAUGCAGCCACCAAGAAAGAUUACUUUCCGUUACCAUUCACGGAUAGUAUAUUAGACGCCGUUGCCAGUCACAAAUGCUAUUCGUUUCUUGAUGGUUUCUCCGAGUAUAAUGAAGUUCAAAUUGCAAAAGAAGACCAGCUCAAGACAACCUUUACUAUGGAUUGGGGCACAUUUGCUUAUCGCGUGAUACCUUUUGGGUUAUGUAACGCCCCAUCCACGUUCCAAUGUAUGAUGACUCAGGCUUUUCAAGACUAUCUCCGGAUGUUUAUGGAGCUCUUUUUAGAUGACUUUUGUACAUUCAGUACCAAACAAGAUCAUCUUCAUUGUUUAGGCAAAUGUUUAGCUUAGUGUGCCAAAUUUGGGAUAUCGUUGAAUUUGGAGAAGUGCCAAUUUGGUGUUCCGUCCGGAAAAUUAUUGGGUCAUAUUGUUUCCAGUCGUGGUAUUGCUACGGAUCCUGAUAAAGUGCAGCAUAUCAUGAACUUGCCCAGACCAAAGAUAGUCUCCGGUGUUCGAGGGUUCGUUGGUCAUGUCAGUUAUUAUCGAUGAUUUAUAAGUUUGUUUGCGGUUAUUUGUCAACCUUUAACGAACUUACUGAAGAAACCUCCAUUCGAUGGUACUAGUCUCCUCUGGACCAAGGAGUGUACCGUAGCCUUCGAAGUCUUAAAGUCAAAAUUGGUCUCUGCACCAAUAUUGGUGGCUCCUUGUUGGACAAAGCCAUUUCAUGUGUAUGUUGAUGCAUCCAAUGCUGCUAUUGGCUCGGUGUUAAACUAGAAAGAUGAUAAGAGAUUAGAUCAUCCCAUAUAUUAUGUCAGUCGACAAUUGGUGGCUGUCGAACGUAACUAUACUACUACUGAACGAGAGGCGUUGGAUAUGAUAUACUCGGUUCAAAAAUUUCGGCACUAUUUGCUUGGGUAUCCGUUUGUAUUUUAUGUGGAUCAUGAUGCUCUCAAAUAUCUGAUUAAUAAGUCUCAAUUGAGUGGGCGCAUUGCUCGCUGGGUCUUACUCCUCCAGGAGUUCAAUUUUACGGUGGUUGUCAGACUUGGGAAGCAACAUGCGAACGCGGAUCAUUUAUCCCGGUUGUCUAAUAUUCUCGGCAACGAGCCUGUUCCCGAUGAUCUUCCCGAUGCCGCAUUAUUUGUGGUGGAUGUGUUAUCCCCCGAGUAUAGCGAAAUUAUUCAGUUUUUGACCUUCCAUACUUUUCCGCCGACUUUCACGGAUAAGCUUAAGAAGCAUCUUAUUCUGAAGAGUGCCCCAUACACGAUGAUUCGUGGUGCUUUGUAUAAACAAGGCCGAGAUGGUCUUUUACAGCGCUGUAUCUUUUUCAAAGAAGUACAGUCAAUACUUAUCGAUUGUCAUUUGGAUAGUUGUGGUGGUCAUUACGCGGGAGACAGCACUGCUCGCAAGGCUUUAAUGGCCGGAUAUUGGUGGCCCACAAUGUUUUCUGAUGCCCACCACUUCGUUCACCGUUGUGAUCCUUGUCAACGAAUUGGUCGACCUACGGGUACUUUCGCCAUGCCGUUAGUCCCAAUCUUGGCCUAGGUCCCGUUUGAAAAAUGGGAUAUUGAUUUUGUUGGUCCCAUUGCACUUGCGUCAAAACCUGGUCAAAAGCGAUAUAUCUUAGUCGCCACAGAUUAUGUCACCAAAUGGGCAGAGGCGAUUGCUACCUGCACCGAUAAUGCCAGUACGGUGGCAACUUUUCUGUAUGAGAAUAUUAUCACUCACUUUGGGUGUCCCAAGGAAUUGGUCAGCGAUCGAGGCACCCAUUUCAUCAAUGCUACCAUCGCCGCCUUGACGACCACAUAUGAGAUCAAGCAUCGUAAGACCACUUCCUAUCAUCCUCGUGCCAAUGGGCAAACGGAAAAGACCAACGGCAUUUUGUGUAAAGUCUUGACUAAGACAAUUUCAGGGGCCGGUACUGAUUGGGAGACCAAACUCUUUGCAGCUUUGUGGGCUUAUCGUACCGCCUAUAAAGUAACUAUCCACUCUACUCCGUUCCAAUUAGUUUACGGCCAAGAGACAAUUUUACAUAUCGAAUUGGAGGUUCCCAGUUUACGUAUUGCCUUAGACGAACCCCUCAGUGACACCGAGUCAUUACACUCUUGGUUGAUGAAAUUGGAGGAAUUGGAUGAAAUACGGGCUGUCGCUCUAUUCCACAUGGAAGCCACUCAAAAACGGAGGAAGAGUUACUAUGAUAGUAAACUGCAACCGAAGUGUUUUAUGCCCAAUGAUUUGGUAUUGCUGUAAGACAGCCGAUUCAAUCAUUUUUUGAGAAAAUUUCAGUUCGUCGGCAUGGGCCAUAUCGCGUAAUUGAAGGAUUUUCUAAUGGGUCUGUUCAAUUGGAGGAUUUCACGGGUCAUCGUUUCAGUACCCGCAUUAAUGGGAAUCGUUUACGGUUAUAUAAUACCUAAAACCCGGGACGGGUUUUAUUUCAUUUGAAGGGAGGAGACUUCGAAUGGACUCAAGAGGGACAUAAUUAUGGUAUAAGGCGUAGAGGCGACUGCAAGGAUAUUUAGUAAUCACUAUUGUGUCAGAUGCGAAGGAAGUGAGAAAUGGACAGUAUGGGUACCAUGUUAUCGUUCUCAUCAAUAGGUAAUAGAAUAGGAGUGGGGCUCCUAUUAAAGAUUAUUCUGUGGUGUUAUAUUCUGUUGUUGCUUAUUUGUGUUUCAUUUUAGUGUUUCGGGCAUAUUGGAGAGUCGCAUUGUCGAUUAGGACCUGUAAGCGUUUGAGUCAUGGCGAUUGAAAGUACCAAGAGAGCUGUAGACAAAGAUGAAAGUGGCCGGAAUGUGAGAGUUAAACGCACAGCAAAACCACCGUCUGUAAUAAUCGUUACCUAUAUGGAGCUGAUGAAGUUAGAAAUCUGUUGGACGAAGAGAAAAAUAAGGGAUUUUUGGACUGCGAAGCUGUUCCAAUUUUUGCACCAUUCAGAGCGUUUACCAUCAAUCAAUGUGUCAUUAGUGGAGGAAUACAUUAAGAAUUACGACCCCGAGGAUGGAUCGAGUGUCGUUCAAGGGCGAAUUAUUGGGAUUGAUGAAACAAUCCUGGAAAAGGUGUUGUUUCUUCACAUUGGAGAGAUGGCAGUAGAGACUGAUGAGUCAAGCGAUUUCAGCCCAGGUAGAUAUUUCAAGGGAGGAAUGUCAUCCUUUGAAAGGACCAAGGAUGGCGGACUUAGGAGGCGAUUACACCAAAAUAUGUGGAAUGGUUGCGAUUUGUGCUGAAGCGGUUAGGAUUGUACCGACACCCCACUUAUGUAUCAAAAUGAUUAUUGUAUGCAGCAGUAGGAGCGUUGUCGUGUGGUAACACGAGUAUACAGUGAAAAUAAAAAAAAAAAAAAAAAAAAAAAAAAGAAUUUUAUUAAUAUUCAGUUACCUCGAAUAUUGGGAGCAUCGACCAACUCCAGCGCAAAUACUGAGUGGUCAGGUUCAGUCACCCCGUUACAGUCAGCCGGGGCAUACUGAAAUGCUCCAUUCGAUUCUAAUAACGGGAGUUAGCAGGAUGAGAAGGACCAAUUCACACGGCGGGUUUGAAGGGCCAAUUGGAUCAAAUUUCGAGAAUCCAAUCCGGGUCCUCUUACACAAUAUGAGACCUGUAUUGGUGGAGCAACCCAAUGCAGUCUAGUUAUGGGAAAAUCCAGGUCUUACUACGGGCCUCAGCUAGUCUGACGCGAAGACCAAUUUGACCCAAUUACGCGAGCAUCCAGGUUACUACGGGCAUCUUACCUAAUAUGGGACCUGAAUUGGUUGGGCGACUUGAUGUGGUCCCGAUUAUAGGGUUUCGAUUCUGUUUCGGGCCGUCCUGUUCUCUGUGCCAUUUCAGGGAACGUUGUUUACGAUAAAUGGAUCUCUUAAAGGUAAAAACGGAAGAGAAGGCCUUAAUGACGUGAGCCAAUUUCGGAUCUAAGCUCUGACGGCGGGAGCCAAUUCCGGAUCUAAGAUGGAAGAUUGAAGAAAUUCAGAGGAUAAGGUUAGGGGAGAAUAUAGUUUUAGAGAGGGAGGUUUUUUUUUUUUUCGGGGAAUCGGGAGAGGAAGCUAGUUUUCAAGCUUUUGCAAGGUUACCAGUUCGGUUUUUAUUGGAGGGUUUUGAAGAUCAAGGGAAUUAGAGAGAGGAGCUUUAUGCUUCGGGUUGGGGAAGGAAAGACAUAGAAUUUGGAUUUUUCUUCUGCAUAGAGUUUUGGGAAGACUGAGGCAAUCGCUGCUGAAGUCAGUGUUCUAAUGGUGAAUUGGGAUUUUUAAAUGAAGUGGGUUUGAAUACUCUUGACUGUUUUGUAAAAUCAAGUUACGUCUGUGAUUGAAGGAUUAAAAGGGUGUCUAUAGGAUUGAGUAUGCGGAGUGAAUGAAAUUUAUUAGGUUAAUCUAACAGGACAGUCAGUGGAUGCAAGAUCGUAAGUACAAAGCGGUAUUGAAGACUAACAAUUUGGGUUGUUCAGGGUUCUCUGUAACGUCUAGAGACCUACCGGCUGGGGCAAAAAAAAGACUUCGACAAGCAGUCGAAGAGCAUCCGUAUAGAUUUACGGUACAUUGUUGCAGUGGUUUAUAUUCCAGUAGUCAAAAACUGAUAGACUGCUUGACUAUCGGUGAAUCUCCAUACUACCUUCUACAGCCAGACGCCCGGCGCGUUCUCGAGCAGGAAAGCACGUAAUACGACAUAAGUGGUGAACCCGACGUGAAAGCUUGAAGUGAAAGGUAUUGGAUUUCGGUUGAUUUUAUCUUUAUUUUUAUGGAAAACGAAAAUAAAAAUUUUGAAGGAUUUUUGGGAGAAGUUUCUGGUGGGGAGUCUUCUAAAGGACAAGGUAUGCACAUGGAUCCGUAUAUUGCUAGUUUGUUUCAAGCCUUCUCAUUGUCAAUGCAGCAACAGCAAAGCAAUGAUCGAAAGGAAGCUUUGGCAACCAAAGCAUUGCAAGCAGUGGUCAAUAAAAUUGAUCAAUUUGAUGGGAGGAAUAUUUCAAGGUAUUUAAGAUGUUAUGUUUGUGAAAUGGAAUUAAAUUGGGUUUCAGAGAAGAAAAUGGUUGCACUAUUUGGACUUGCCACGAUACCGGAGAUAAGGGACCACAUUACAUCGAUAACGGAUCGUUGUGGGAAUUCAUGGGAGGAUUUUUCACAUGCAUUGAAAGAUGAAUAUUUCUUAGAAGAUCCUGAUCGCGUUACUAAGAAGCUGUUUCUGGGAUGGAUUGAACGGCCCAAUAAGAAUUGCAAGCAACAGAGCUACUAAGUGAAUUUGAGAGGCAGUACUCUCAAUUAUUGAAGGUAGAAACUUAUGUCAUAUAACGUGCUUUCCUGCUCAAGAAUGCGUCGGGCGUCUGGCUGUAGAAGGUAGUAUGGAGAUUCACCGAUAGUCAUGCAGUCUAUCAGUUUUUGACUGCUGGAAUAUAAACGACUGCAACAAUGUACCGUAAAUCUAUACGGAUGCUCUUCGACUGCUUGUCGAAGUCUUUUUUUUUUUUUUUUUUUUGCCCCAGCCGGUAGGUCUCUAGACGUUACAGAGAACCCCGAACAACCCAAACUGUUAAUCUUCAAUACCCUUUUGUACUUACGAUCUUGUAUCCACUGACUGUCUUGUUAGAUUAACCCAAUAAAUUUCAUUCACUCCGCAUACUCAAUCCUAUAGACACCCUUUUAAUCCUUCAAUCACAGACGUAACUCGAUUUUACAAAACAGUCAAGAGUAUUCAAACCCACUUC
This 37422-nucleotide long non-coding RNA is filed under the name Physcomitrium patens. RNAcentral describes it as "long non-coding RNA (PPAT_LNC008134)". The record is from RNAcentral. Lineage: Eukaryota; Viridiplantae; Streptophyta; Bryopsida; Funariales; Funariaceae.